Molecule: ribosomal RNA, 305 nt
Filed under: uncultured bacterium
Lineage: Bacteria
Description: bacterial SSU rRNA
Rfam family: Bacterial small subunit ribosomal RNA
Source: RNAcentral
UACAGCCUACGGGGGCAGCAGUGGGGGAUAUUGCACAAUGGGGGAAACCCUGAUGCAGCGACGCCGCGUGUAGGAAGACGGUCCUCUGGAUUGUAAACUACUGUCCCCAGGGACGAAGAUGACGGUACCUGGGGAGGAAGCUCCGGCUAACUACGUGCCAGCAGCCGCGGUAAUACGUAGGGAGCGAGCGUUGUCCGGAAUUACUGGGUGUAAAGGGAGCGUAGGCGGGGAUGCAAGUUGGGUGUUAAAUCUACCGGCUCAACUGGGAGUCGCACUCAGAACUGCAGCUCUUGAGUGAAGUAGAG